ACACAUCUCAAUCAAUCAAUCAAUCAAUCAAUCAAUCAAUCUCAUGAACUCACCCUCCACCGUGCAACAACAACCCUAGAUGAUCGCAAUCGAAUCUUGUGGACAAAUAAUUGGUACUGCAGGGUACCCAUUGCUGACCUUAAUCCGUUCCCAGUUCAUGAUCCACCAGCAUCGUUCCAAUCAUCCAGUUCUUGCGGCGGCGAAGACGAUGAGCGAAACAUCCG
RNAcentral lists this long non-coding RNA (224 nucleotides) under Setaria italica (foxtail millet). RNAcentral describes it as "long non-coding RNA (SITA_LNC002355)". The record is from RNAcentral. Lineage: Eukaryota; Viridiplantae; Streptophyta; Magnoliopsida; Poales; Poaceae.